This 281-nucleotide unclassified non-coding RNA is filed under the name fungal sp. RNAcentral describes it as "partial internal transcribed spacer region". The stretch from base 1 to 46 matches the Rfam family "Eukaryotic small subunit ribosomal RNA", at positions 1786 to 1831 of the family's 1831-position model. Lineage: Eukaryota; Fungi. The record is from RNAcentral.
AAGUCGUAACAAGGUAACCGUAGGUGAACCUGCGGUUGGAUCAUUAUUGAUUUUUUUAUUGCCUAGGGUUUAAAGAUUUGGUUUUUGAUGCCUUUUCAAGGCUCCUAAUGAUUUUCCCUAGGUCAAUUUCAACACUAUGUGCAUUAUAAUUGUUUUUUGGGUCUUGCAAGAUUUUUUGUAAGGCCCUGACUUUUUAUUAAACCCUAUUUAAAAUUGACUGAUUAAACCAAGAUUUUUAUAAAAUCAAAAUACAACUUUUGACAACGGAUCUCUUGGCUCUC